Long non-coding RNA from Apis dorsata (giant honeybee), 691 nucleotides. RefSeq lists it as uncharacterized. Lineage: Eukaryota; Metazoa; Arthropoda; Insecta; Hymenoptera; Apidae. The transcript has 4 exons. The record is from RefSeq and is a predicted model, not a curated record.
GGGGAAGAGGAGAAAGAAAGAAGGGGAGUCAUCGUGGCACUUUGCUCGACUUUGUUGUUGGCAUGAUACCAACCCUUGUGAAACAGGUGCCAAAUAUCGUGGAGGCCUCGCAUCGUGUUUUAACGGUUUAACGAUGUGAUUUGUUGCCUGGCAAGAUCGACCUCAUCCUCGCACUCCCCUCCUCUCCUCGAUAAUUUAUCGUGGCCGCGUAUUUAACGAGUGGAAUAACGAGAAAUAUUGCAUCGUCGUGUAACUUUCGUCGUUGAUCGCGAAGAAAUGAUAGGGCGGGUGAUCACGGAUUCCAAUCGAGUUCAAAUUUUCCCCUCGUUGGAAUAACUCGGAUUCGCACGCGAUAUCGAACUCGACGCGUCACUUCGUAACUUGCACUUUCGUUGCAACGUAGUUGUCCUGUUUUCUCCCUGUUUUUCGAGGGAACGAGCCUUCGAGUAACGAGGGAAUCGAGAAUAGGCGAUUUUUUUGGAUUCUUCUUCUGAUUCAACGACAGGGAUCCAGAGAAAAAUGAGAGGAGACGUGAUGCGCAAUGUUUCGCGAGACGACGGCCAACUGCGGUUUCGAGUUGCUGGCGAUUGUAAAAUACAAAGGGGAAGGGGAAAGAUUACGCGACGUGUGUGUAUAUAAACGAUUCACGAUAACUCUGAGUAGUAGCCAACGACAAGUUAAAGCAUAUUCG